ACUGACACUGAGGUGCGAAAGCGUGGGAGCAAACGGGAUUAGAUACCCCGGUAGUGCACGCCGUAAACGAUGUCUACUAGCCGUUGGAGGACUUGAUCCUUUAGUGGCGCAGCUAACGCGAUAAGUAGACCGCCUGGGGAGUACGGUCGCAAGAUUAAAACUCAAAUGAAUUGACGGGGGCCCGCACAAGCGGUGGAGCAUGUGGUUUAAUUCGAAGCAACGCGAAGAACCUUACCUACUCUUGACAUCCAGUGAACUUUUGAGAGAUCAAUUGGUGCCUUCGGGAACACUGAGACAGGUGCUGCAUGGCUGUCGUCAGCUCGUGUUGUGAAAUGUUGGGUUAAGUCCCGUAACGAGCGCAACCCUUGUCCUUAGUUACCAUCAUUAAGUUGGGGACUCUAAGGAGACUGCCGGUGACAAACCGGAGGAAGGCGGGGACGACGUCAAGUCAUCAUGGCCCUUACGAGUAGGGCUACACACGUGCUACAAUGGCAUGUACAAAGGGUUGCCAAGCCGCGAGGUGGAGCUAAUCCCAUAAAGCAUGUCGUAGUCCGGAUUGGAGUCUGCAACUCGACUCCAUGAAGUCGGAAUCGCUAGUAAUCGUGAAUCAGAAUGUCACGGUGAAUACGUUCCCGGGCCUUGUACACACCGCCCGUCACACCAUGGGAGUGGGUUGCUCCAGAAGUAGAUGGCUUAACCUUCGGGAGGGCGUUUACCACGGAGUGAUUCAUGACUGGGGUGAAGUCGUAACAAGGUAGCCGUA
This 763-nucleotide ribosomal RNA is filed under the name uncultured bacterium. RNAcentral's name for it is "bacterial SSU rRNA". It matches the Rfam family "Bacterial small subunit ribosomal RNA", at positions 739 to 1504 of the family's 1533-position model. The record is from RNAcentral.